UUGUCUUCCCGAGUAGCUGCUCCAUUCCCGGCAUAGAGGAUCAGGAGAGGGGACGCCACCUGCCACACGCUGGAUGCUGGGGUCCGCACGACUGCGGCUUGUGUCGCUGUGGUUGGUGGUGGUGAUGGAAACUGCAGCGUGGCUGGAGUGCAGAAGAGAAACUGUCUUUAAAAUCUGUCUGCCUGGAUAAACUCAAAGGAGCCUUUACAGAAAGCACAUUCACACAGACUGGCUAAUGAGACCCCACACUGAAGAAGCCUAGAACUUCCACAGACUCCCUGAAAUCUAAGUCCUCAUUUUUAACAUACAGCUUUUAAUACUAGCUUCAGAAGUCCCGGAUCCCUGCAAAGCAGGAAGAGAGAGGUUCAUGUAACCUACUUAGGAACAGAGUUUAUUGGUUCCAAAGGCAUGAAGUCAGAGUUGUCAUCAGUUUAUCGGCGGAGAUGCUGUUACUGGGCAACAAUGAACCAUUUCUUGAUUGGAUUGUGAUGUGACGAAAAGUGGAUUUUAUACGACAACCGGCAAUGACCAGCUCAGUGGUUGGACCAAGAAGACGCUCCAAGGCACUUCCCAAAGCCAAACUUGCACCAAAAAAGGUUAUGGUCACUAUUUGGUGGUCGUCGGCUCGUCUGAUCCACUGCAGCUUUCUGAAUGCCAGUGAAACCAUUGCCUCUGAGGAGUGUACUCAGCAAAUUGAUGACAUGCACUGAAAACUCCAGCGCCUGCAGGCAGCAUUGAUCAACAGAAAAGCCCAAUUCUUCUUCAUGACAGCACCUGACCACAUGUCACACAACUCACGCUUUAAAAGUUGAACAAAUUGGGCUACGAAGUUUCACCUCAUCUGCCGUAUUCACCUGAUCUCUCGCCAACUGACUACUACUUAUUCGAGCAUCUUGACAACUCUUUGCAGGGAAAAUGCUUUCAGGACCAGCAGGAUGCAGAAAAUGCUUUCAAGAGUUUAUUGAAUCCUGAAGAAUGGAUUUUUACACUAUAGAAAUAAACAGACUGGGCGCAGUGGCUCACGCCUGUAAUCUCAGCACUUUGGGAGGCCAAGGCAGCCAGAUCACCUGAGGU
RNAcentral lists this long non-coding RNA (1074 nucleotides) under Homo sapiens (human). RNAcentral describes it as "HSALNT0372211". Lineage: Eukaryota; Metazoa; Chordata; Mammalia; Primates; Hominidae. The record is from RNAcentral.